Molecule: ribosomal RNA, 383 nt
Filed under: uncultured eukaryote
Lineage: Eukaryota
Description: partial 18S ribosomal RNA
Rfam family: Eukaryotic small subunit ribosomal RNA
Source: RNAcentral
CAAUAGCGUAUAUUAAAGUUGUUGCAGUUAAAAAGCUCGUAGUUGGAUUUCUGGUGGGAGCGAUCGGUCUGGCGCUUAGCGCGAGUACUUGCAUCGUCUCCGGCCAUCCUUGGGGAGAGUCUGUCUGGCAUUAGGUUGUCGGGCAGAGGAUCCUCAUCGUUUACUGUGAAAAAAUUAGAGUGUUCAAAGCAGGCUUAUGCCGUUGAAUAUGUUAGCAUGGAAUAAUAAGAUAGGACUUUGGUACUAUUUUGUUGGUUUGCGCACCAAAGUAAUGAUUAAUAGGGACAGUUGGGGGUAUUCGUAUUCCGUUGUCAGAGGUGAAAUUCUUGGAUUUACGGAAGACGAACUACUGCGAAAACAUUUACCAAGGAUGUUUUCAUUAA